Molecule: unclassified non-coding RNA, 285 nt
Filed under: plant metagenome
Description: partial contains 5.8S ribosomal RNA, internal transcribed spacer 2, and large subunit ribosomal RNA
Source: RNAcentral
CGGCAGGACGCUCGGUGUCAUCCAGGCGCUCAACAAGCGCGACGGUUACUUCACCGUGGAGGACGAAUCGCUGCUCGGCGCGCUGGGUGCGCAAGCGGCGGUGUGUGUCGAGAACUCCAAGCUGUUUUUGUCGGUGGUCGGCAAAAACAUGGAGCUGCUCGAGACCAAAAACCGCCUCGAGCGCAAGGUGCGCGAGCUCGACGUCCUGGUCGAGAUUGCGAACGUCGCAGCCACCGCCGGCAAGCUCGACGACUUGCUCCAGGGGGUGCUCGCGCGCGCCAGCAA